UGGCUCGCGCCUCGUUCGCGCGCGCAUUGUGAGCAUUCAAGUUUCGUUUUUUGCACUUGCUUAGAAGCUGAAAUUGCCGACAUUGCGGGGUUGGGCUUGAUGACAUUUGUUGCUCAGCUGCCGCGACGCAUUUGGAGCAAAGCUUCUGCUUAUUUCCUGGCCGCACCUUAUAUUUGUUGCCUUUGUCAACAUCUGACCUGUUUCUGCCUUGUUGAAAGCAAGUGGCCACAAGUACUGCUUAGUUAGCUCAGUAUAUACCUGGCUGCUGUGUUUCAGCUAAAUCUGCUUUUCCUGUGUCCAGUGGCCUUGUCGCUCAAUUAGUGCUUGCCAAUUUCCAUUACACUGCAACCCACUAAAAAUAUGAAAUUUUAGAA
Long non-coding RNA from Dermacentor silvarum, 374 nucleotides. RefSeq lists it as uncharacterized. NCBI's taxonomy places the organism in Eukaryota, Metazoa, Arthropoda, Arachnida, Ixodida, Ixodidae. The transcript is spliced from 3 exons. The record is from RefSeq and is a predicted model, not a curated record.